CCCGCCAAGCCUCCUAACAAUGCUUAAAUCGGUGGGU
Molecule: small RNA, 37 nt
Filed under: uncultured Prevotella sp.
Lineage: Bacteria; Pseudomonadati; Bacteroidota; Bacteroidia; Bacteroidales; Prevotellaceae
Description: abiF RNA
Rfam family: abiF RNA
Source: RNAcentral